RNAcentral lists this ribosomal RNA (463 nucleotides) under uncultured bacterium. RNAcentral describes it as "bacterial SSU rRNA". It matches the Rfam family "Bacterial small subunit ribosomal RNA", at positions 331 to 792 of the family's 1533-position model. The record is from RNAcentral.
CCAGACUCCUACGGGAGGCAGCAGUGAGGAAUAUUGGUCAAUGGGCGGGAGCCUGAACCAGCCAAGCCGCGUGAGGGAAGAAGGUACAGCGUAUCGUAAACCUCUUUUGUCAGGGAACAAAGGCGGGGACUAGUCCCCGGAUGAGGGUACCUGAAGAAAAAGCAUCGGCUAACUCCGUGCCAGCAGCCGCGGUAAUACGGAGGAUGCGAGCGUUAUCCGGAUUUAUUGGGUUUAAAGGGUGCGUAGGCGGAAUGCCAGGUCAGCGGUAAAAUCGCGGGGCUCAACCUCGCUCCGCCGUUGAAACUGGCGGGCUGGAGUUGGAGAGAAGUACGCGGAAUGCGCGGUGUAGCGGUGAAAUGCUUAGAUAUCGCGCAGAACCCCGAUUGCGAAGGCAGCGUACCGGCUCCACACUGACGCUGAGGCACGAAAGCGUGGGUAUCGAACAGGAUUAGAUACCCGUGUA